UCUGUUUGAGGUCUGGACUGAAACCCGGGUCAGAGAACGUUCUGCAGAACCCGCUUUGGGCUGAGUGGAAACCAGAACCAUCUCAGUCCAAGACAUGGAGAUAAACGUUCUGCUCUCACAGGAAGUAAACUCAGAGUUUUAAAAAUAGAACAAUAAUUGUCCCUGGAAGCAGGAUUUUCCCCUCACAGCUGAGAAUUAGAAAGAUUAAUUUGCUUAAAACUUUUUUCCAUAAUAAUCAGCGUUCACAUCGGGACAUGAGAGGCUGAGGUGUAGUCAGUAUCCUACCUACGAGGAGUCGGGUCAGGGUUAGGCUCCGGUUCCUCUCCCUGGUCCAACACGCCUGGAUCAAACAGUUACCAGCUCCACACACAUCCAGGUUCUAACGAGUCCUGGUUCUGACCCGACCCAAUUAGAACAGCAGCCAUUCAGGACUGGAGUCAGAAUUACGUGCCUCAGAUGUUUCUCUCGUUAAACACACCUGAUUAAACGAGCGGGUCUUUAACGGGUCCCUGUAACGCUUACUGACCAGGCAGGGAGCCGUUUGACUCAGGUGUGCUGAAGCAGGAACAGGUAGAAGCAGGAACAGGUAGAAGCAGGAACAGGUAGAAGCAGGAACAGGUAGGGGACCUCCUGAUGUGAUCAUGGUGCUGGUUUCAUCACCCAGUGAAACGUGUCUCUCAGAGUCAGGCUGUAAAAAUCAGGUUACUGCCAAGGACCAGGCAGUGAUGUCAGACGGGACACAGAGGGUUCUGUUUAAGAUGCAGAACCUUGUUUAGUCCUCACUGCUGAGCAAAAAACCACAAAGUCAUCAGCAUACAAGGAGAUUUGGCUUCUUUGAAAGAUGCCUAAUUGGCCCCGGUGUGCAUCAUGUACUAUGGGAUGCAUCUGCUGGAGAUUCUCUGGCAGAGACUGAGCUUUGUCCCAGACGGAGGGCAGGUAGCCAGAUUACUGGGGUAGCAUGAGGGAGCUCUGUCUCUUUAAAAUGUGGCUGAAUGAGUUGGAGCAGAGACCGAUUGAAAAGAGCUCUUCAGAACUGGACUCCACCGACUCUGCAGCCUCUGAUCAAACUUUGUGAAGUUUAGGGUUUUAUCGCCUUUAGACGGACCCGACUCUUUCCUGAUUGGUUCCCGCUCUGAGAAGCUGUCAGCUCUAGAAAUGACUCUGACUACUGCGGGGAAGAUACUGACUCCUCACCCUGCUCCACAGAACCACAAUCCAACAGAACAGAGCUUCCCUUUAUUGGUUUGAUGAGGCUGAUGUUCUUCAAAGCCUCCUGCUGCCAGUUACUGAUCCACCAUCCUGCAGCUAUGCUGGGGUUAAUUACUGGAGAAAAGACAUCUAAUGGAAACUUUAUUUGGACAUUUGAACAGAACUCAGUCAUAAUUUGAGUGAAUUUGGCUGUAAAAUCAGUCCUGGGAUCAGUUUCCCUUCCCUUCCAGGUCCGACGCUGCGUUAACAAGUCCUUUCCUCUAAAACCCGUCUUUAAAACAUGAAGCGUCAAACCUAAAUUAUCUGCAGAUAGUUCCUUUACCUGAGAGGACACAUAACAUCCCAGUUAGUCCGGUUAGGUUUGCUGUGUCGUUUGUUUCCUGGAAGACAUAAUUUUCUCUGAGGAAUAUAGCUUUAUGAUCUUGUUGCUGGUGAUGAAUAUUUAAAUGGCUUCGGACCAUCUGAUGAUCAGCAGUGUGUCUGCAGGGUGACGAGGGUUUAAUUAGGGGAGAAUCAUCUCAUUACGGCUAAACCAGCAGAAAACAUCAAGUUUCUGACGUUUAAUUCCAAACUGGAUGCAGCAGAAAUCGUUUGAAAAUGACGGCCCUGUUUCUGCUUUUACUCUCUGACUGGAACUCGACACAAACUAAUGAUUUACUCAUCUCUGCAUCCGUGUCAGCAGGAAUUACAGCAAUUAACUCAAAGAUGAUGUAAAUGUCUGUACAUACCAUGAAUAAAGAAUGAAACAUUUGUUUCUUUUCAACGACA
This is a long non-coding RNA of Fundulus heteroclitus (mummichog), 1977 nucleotides long. RefSeq lists it as uncharacterized. The transcript has 2 exons. Lineage: Eukaryota; Metazoa; Chordata; Actinopteri; Cyprinodontiformes; Fundulidae. The record is from RefSeq and is a predicted model, not a curated record.